GACGAACGCUGGCGGCGUGCUUAACACAUGCAAGUCGAACGGAAAGGCCCUGCUUGCAGGGUACUCGAGUGGCGAACGGGUGAGUAACACGUGGGUGAUCUGCCUCGUACUUCGGGAUAAGCCUGGGAAACUGGGUCUAAUACCGGAUAGGACCAUCAUUUAGGUAAGAAGGUGGAAAGUUUGUCGGUACGAGAUGAGCCCGCGGCCUAUCAGCUUGUGGGUGGGGUAAUGGCCUACCAAGGCGACGACGGGUAGCCGGCCUGAGAGGGUGUACGGCCACAUGGGGACUGAGACACGGCCCAGACUCCUACGGGAGGCAGCAGUGGGGAAUAUUGCACAAUGGGCGCAAGCCUGAUGCAGCGACGCCGCGUGAGGGAUGACGGCCUUCGGGUUGUAAACCUCUUUCGCUAGGGGAGAAGCCACUGAUGUGGUGACGGUACCUGGAUAAGAAGCACCGGCUAACUACGUGCCAGCCGCCGCUGUAA
Molecule: ribosomal RNA, 485 nt
Filed under: uncultured bacterium
Lineage: Bacteria
Description: partial 16S ribosomal RNA
Rfam family: Bacterial small subunit ribosomal RNA
Source: RNAcentral